This 608-nucleotide long non-coding RNA is filed under the name Homo sapiens (human). RNAcentral's name for it is "non-protein coding lnc-RMDN2-3:8". The record is from RNAcentral. Lineage: Eukaryota; Metazoa; Chordata; Mammalia; Primates; Hominidae.
GCAGACGUCCCUUCCCCAGCCAGGCUGCCACCUCGCAGUUCAAUCUCAGACUGCUGUGCUAGCAGUGGGGAAGGCUCCGUGGGCAUGGAAACUGCCGAGCCAGGCACAGUAGAGAAUCACCUUGUCUGCCGGUUGCUAAGACCUUUGGAAAAGUGCAGUAUUUGGGUGAGAGUGUCCUAUUUUUCCAGGUACAGUCUGUCACGUCUUCCCUUGGCUAGGAAAGGGAAAUCCCCCGACCCCUUACACUUUCCGGGUGAGGCAACGCCCCACUCUGCUUCAGCUCACCCUCCAUGGGCUGCACUCACCUUCCAACCAGUCUCAAUGAGAUGAACCAGGUACCUCAGUUGGAAAUGCAGAAAUCACCCGUCUUCUGCGUCAAUCACGCUGAGAACUGCAGACCAGAGCUGUUCCUAUUUGGCCAUCUUGGAACCGGUCUGAGUCUGUUUUAGCCAGAUCAAGUACUUGACUUCUCCUAUGGAGAAUGCAGCAAGAAAAUACCAUCUUGAAGCAGAGAGCAGCGCUCAUCAGGCAUCAGUCCUUCUGGAGCCUUGAUCUUGGACCUCCCAGCUCCAAAAUAAUAAGUAAUAAAUUGUUAUUGCUUAUAAAUU